CAGCAGCCGCGGUAAUACGUAGGGUGCGAGCGUUAAUCGGAAUUACUGGGCGUAAAGCGUGCGCAGGCGGUUUUGUAAGACAGAGGUGAAAUCCCCGGGCUCAACCUGGGAACUGCCUUUGUGACUGCAAGGCUAGAGUACGGCAGAGGGGGAUGGAAUUCCGCGUGUAGCAGUGAAAUGCGUAGAUAUGCGGAGGAACACCGAUGGCGAAGGCAAUCCCCUGGGCCUGUACUGACGCUCAUGCACGAAAGCGUGGGGAGCAAACAGGAUUAGAUACCCCCGUAGUCCCUGUCUCUUAUAA
RNAcentral lists this ribosomal RNA (301 nucleotides) under uncultured bacterium. RNAcentral's name for it is "partial 16S ribosomal RNA". It matches the Rfam family "Bacterial small subunit ribosomal RNA", at positions 509 to 809 of the family's 1533-position model. The record is from RNAcentral.